RNAcentral lists this ribosomal RNA (492 nucleotides) under uncultured bacterium. RNAcentral describes it as "bacterial SSU rRNA". It matches the Rfam family "Bacterial small subunit ribosomal RNA", at positions 30 to 514 of the family's 1533-position model. The record is from RNAcentral.
AUUGAACGCUGGCGGCAGGCCUAACACAUGCAAGUCGAGCGGUAGAGAGGUGCUUGCAUCUCUUGAGAGCGGCGGACGGGUGAGUAAUGCCUAGGAAUCUGCCUAGUGGUGGGGGAUAACGUUCGGAAACGGACGCUAAUACCGCAUACGUCCUACGGGAGAAAGCGGGGGAUCUUCGGACCUCGCGCCAUUAGAUGAGCCUAGGUCGGAUUAGCUAGUUGGUGAGGUAAUGGCUCACCAAGGCGACGAUCCGUAACUGGUCUGAGAGGAUGAUCAGUCACACUGGAACUGAGACACGGUCCAGACUCCUACGGGAGGCAGCAGUGGGAAUAUUGGACAAUGGGCGAAAGCCUGAUCCAGCCAUGCCGCGUGUGUGAAGAAGGUCUUCGGAUUGUAAAGCACUUUAAGUUGGGAGGAAGGUAGUAACCUAAUACGUUGCUACUUUGACGUUACCGACAGAAUAAGCAACCGGCUAAACUUCGUAGCCAGCAG